RNAcentral lists this ribosomal RNA (746 nucleotides) under Salmonella enterica subsp. enterica serovar Anatum. Its description in RNAcentral is "partial 23S ribosomal RNA". It matches the Rfam family "Bacterial large subunit ribosomal RNA", at positions 711 to 1372 of the family's 2925-position model. Lineage: Bacteria; Pseudomonadati; Pseudomonadota; Gammaproteobacteria; Enterobacterales; Enterobacteriaceae. The record is from RNAcentral.
AGACCCGAAACCCGGUGAUCUAGCCAUGGGCAGGUUGAAGGUUGGGUAACACUAACUGGAGGACCGAACCGACUAAUGUUGAAAAAUUAGCGGAUGACCUGUGGCUGGGGGUGAAAGGCCAAUCAAACCGGGAGAUAGCUGGUUCUCCCCGAAAGCUAUUUAGGUAGCGCCUCGUGAAUUCAUCUCCGGGGGUAGAGCACUGUUUCGGCUAGGGGGCCAUCCCGGCUUACCAACCCGAUGCAAACUGCGAAUACCGGAGAAUGUUAUCACGGGAGACACACGGCGGGUGCUAACGUCCGUCGUGAAGAGGGAAACAACCCAGACCGCCAGCUAAGGUCCCAAAGUCAUGGUUAAGUGGGAAACGAUGUGGGAAGGCCCAGACAGCCAGGAUGUUGGCUUAGAAGCAGCCAUCAUUUAAAGAAAGCGUAAUAGCUCACUGGUCGAGUCGGCCUGCGCGGAAGAUGUAACGGGGCUAAACCAUGCACCGAAGCUGCGGCAGCGAACGUAUCACUUAAAGCGAUUCAGCGGGUUACGAUUGACGGAGCGAAGCGACGUCAAAGCGUAUACAAAGUCGAGUCGGUUUAAGGAUACGUUCGUUGGGUAGGGGAGCGUUCUGUAAGCCUGUGAAGGUGGCCUGUGAGGGUUGCUGGAGGUAUCAGAAGUGCGAAUGCUGACAUAAGUAACGAUAAAGCGGGUGAAAAGCCCGCUCGCCGGAAGACCAAGGGUUCCUGUCCAACGUUAAUCGG